AGUGAACGCUGGCGGCAGGCCUAACACAUGCAAGUCGAGCGGCAGCGCGGGGGCAACCCUGGCGGCGAGCGGCGGACGGGUGAGGAAUUCGUCGGAAUCUGCCUUUUUGUGGGGGAUAACGUAGGGAAACUUACGCUAAUACCGCAUACGUCCUACGGGAGAAAGUGGGGGACCGCAAGGCCUCACGCAGAAAGAUGAGCCGACGACCGAUUAGCUAGUUGGUGGGGUAAAGGCCCACCAAGGCGACGAUCGGUAGCUGGUCUGAGAGGAUGAUCAGCCACACUGGGACUGAGACACGGCCCAGACUCCUACGGGAGGCAGCAGUGGGGAAUAUUGGACAAUGGGCGCAAGCCUGAUCCAGCCAUGCCGCGUGUGUGAAGAAGGCCUUCGGGUUGUAAAGCACUUUUGUCCGGAAAGAAAUCCCUGGAGCUAAUACCUUCGGGGGAUGACGGUAUCGGAAGAAUAAGCACCGGCUAACUUCGU
Molecule: ribosomal RNA, 483 nt
Filed under: uncultured bacterium
Lineage: Bacteria
Description: partial 16S ribosomal RNA
Rfam family: Bacterial small subunit ribosomal RNA
Source: RNAcentral